UACGUAGGUCCCGAGCGUUGUCCGGAUUUAUUGGGCGUAAAGCGAGCGCAGGUGGUUUAUUAAGUCUGGUGUAAAAGGCAGUGGCUCAACCAUUGUAUGCAUUGGAAACUGGUAGACUUGAGUGCAGGAGAGGAGAGUGGAAUUGCAUGUGUAGCGGUGAAAUGCGUAGAUAUAUGGAGGAACACCGGUGGCGAAAGCGGCUCUCUGGCCUGUAACUGACACUGAGGCUCGAAAGCGUGGGGAGCAAACAGG
Molecule: ribosomal RNA, 252 nt
Filed under: uncultured bacterium
Lineage: Bacteria
Description: partial 16S ribosomal RNA
Rfam family: Bacterial small subunit ribosomal RNA
Source: RNAcentral